CCCUUGGCCCGGAAACACUUUCUUGGGAAGAUGGCGGCAGUAUCGGUGUUUCAGGCACCCGUCGGAGGUUUUUCUUUCGAUAAUUGCCGCAGGAAUGCUGUCUUGGAAGCUGAUUUUGCAAAGAAGGGUUCAAACUUCCGAAAGCCCGGAAAACUGGCACUACCAUCGCGGGAGUAGUCUACAAGGAUGGCAUAGUUCUUGGAGCAGACACAAGAGCAACUGAAGGGAUGGUUGUUGCUGACAAAAAACUGUUCAAAAAUUCACUUCAUAUCUCCUAAUAUUAUUGCUGUGGUGCGGGGA
Molecule: long non-coding RNA, 300 nt
Organism: Peromyscus leucopus (white-footed mouse)
Lineage: Eukaryota; Metazoa; Chordata; Mammalia; Rodentia; Cricetidae
Exons: 4
Source: RefSeq, a predicted model, not a curated record